Molecule: ribosomal RNA, 253 nt
Filed under: uncultured bacterium
Lineage: Bacteria
Description: partial 16S ribosomal RNA
Rfam family: Bacterial small subunit ribosomal RNA
Source: RNAcentral
UACAGAGGGUGCGAGCGUUAAUCGGAAUUACUGGGCGUAAAGCGUGCGUAGACGGUGGCGUAAGUCGGGUGUGAAAGCCCCGGGCUCAACCUGGGAAUUGCAUUCGAGACUGUGCCGCUAGGGUGCGGAAGAGGGAAGCGGAAUUUCCGGUGUAGCGGUGAAAUUCGUAGAUAUUCGGAAGAACACCAGUGGCGAAGGCGACUCACUGGACACGUAUUGACGCUGAGGUGCGAAAGCGUGGGGAGCAAACAGG